AACGAACGCUGGCGGCAUGCCUAACACAUGCAAGUCGAACGAGACCUUCGGGUCUAGUGGCGCACGGGUGCGUAACGCUGGGAAUCUGCCCUUUGCUUCGGAAUAACAGUUAGAAAUGACUGCUAAUACCGGUUGAUGUCUUCGGACCAAAGAUUUUAUCGGCAAAAGGAUGAGCCCGCGUAGGAUUAGGUAGUUGGUGGGGUAAAGGGCCUACCAAGCCGACGAUCCUUAGCUGGUCUGAGAGGAUGAUCAGCCACACUGGGACUGAGACACGGCCCAGACUCCUACGGGAGGCAGCAGUGGGGAAUAUUGGACAAUGGGCGAAAGCCUGAUCCAGCAAUGCCGCGUGAGUGAUGAAGGCCUUCGGGUCGUAAAGCUCUUUUACCAGGGAUGAUAAUGACAGUACCUGGAGAAUAAGCUCCGGCUAACUCCGUG
Molecule: ribosomal RNA, 435 nt
Filed under: uncultured bacterium
Lineage: Bacteria
Description: bacterial SSU rRNA
Rfam family: Bacterial small subunit ribosomal RNA
Source: RNAcentral